RNAcentral lists this ribosomal RNA (498 nucleotides) under uncultured bacterium. RNAcentral's name for it is "partial 16S ribosomal RNA". It matches the Rfam family "Bacterial small subunit ribosomal RNA", at positions 28 to 523 of the family's 1533-position model. The record is from RNAcentral.
GAUGAACGCUAGCGGCAGGCCUAAUACAUGCAAGUCGAACGGUAAAUAUUGUAGCAAUACGAUAUGAGAGUGACGUACGGGUGCGUAACACGUAUGCAACCUACCCAAAACUGGAGUAUAGCUCGGGGAAACCCGAAUUAACCCUUCAUAGUAUCACUGGAUGGCAUCAUUUGGUGAUUAAAACUCAGGUGGUUUUGGAUGGGCAUGCGUCUGAUUAGCUAGUUGGAGGGGUAAAGGCCCACCAAGGCGAUGAUCAGGAGGGGAACUGAGAGGUUGAUCCCCCACACUGGCACUGAGAUACGGGUCAGACUCCUGCGGAGGGCAGCAGUAGGGAAUAUUGGUCAAUGGAUGCAAGUCUGAACCAGCCAUGCCGCGUGCAGGAAGAAGGCCUUCUGGGUUGUAAACUGCUUUUGACAGAGGAUAAAAUGGGCGUGCGCGCCUAAUUGAAGGUACCUGGUGAAUAAGCCACGGCUAACUACGUGCCAGCCGCCGCAGUAA